CCUACGGGCGGCAGCAGUGGGGAAUAUUGGGCAAUGGAGGCAACUCUGACCCAGCAACGCCGCGUGAAUGAUGAAGGUCUUCGGAUUGUAAAGUUCUGUGAUGGGGGAUGAACACAAUGACUGUACCUAUAAAGGAAGCACCGGCUAACUCCGUGCCAGCAGCCGCGGUAAUACGGGGGGUGCAAGCGUUGUCCGGAAUCAUUGGGCGUAAAGCGUUCGUAGGCGGUAUGUCAAGUCUGAUGUUAAAGCCCGGGGCUCAACUCCGGUUCGGCAUUGGAUACUGGCAAACUAGAAUGUGGUAGAGGUAAAGGGAAUUCCUGGUGUAGCGGUGAAAUGCGUAGAUAUCAGGAGGAACAUCGGUGGCGAAAGCGCUUUACUGGACCAUUAUUGACGCUGAGGAACGAAAGCCAGGGGAGCAAAUGGGAUUAGAUACCCUUGUAGUC
Molecule: ribosomal RNA, 443 nt
Filed under: uncultured bacterium
Lineage: Bacteria
Description: partial 16S ribosomal RNA
Rfam family: Bacterial small subunit ribosomal RNA
Source: RNAcentral